UCCCAAGGUUCACCGCACUCUUCUGCAAGAUGAGGCAGAGCAGCCUCUCCGUGCUCACCGGGAUUUUCCUCCUCCUCUGCCUCCCCAUGGCGCAGCCUGAAUUGAGGGAGACAGAUGUGGCCAAACCUGGAUACUGCCCAGAGUUCCCACUCCGCUGCCCUUUCGUGAUGUUACCGCUGUGCCGGCGCGAUAAAGGCUGCAAGAAGGACAAGAAGUGUUGUUUCUACAACUGUAGACGUCAGUGUGUGGUGCCCUGGCCGAGUCUGGAUUGAGGUAGAAAUCCCUUCUGACCCGGGCCUGAGAAGACACUGAUAGUACAGGCUCCGACUCGGAUAACUGGUCUCCAGUUCUUCCACGUCCUCCUCAUCCCCCAGACUUCCUUUAUCAGAGUUCAGUGCUUAUUACUAUGACAACAGCACAAAGGAAUAAAGUGUUAUA
Eptesicus fuscus (big brown bat) is the source of this 438-nucleotide long non-coding RNA. RefSeq lists it as uncharacterized. Lineage: Eukaryota; Metazoa; Chordata; Mammalia; Chiroptera; Vespertilionidae. The transcript has 3 exons. The record is from RefSeq and is a predicted model, not a curated record.